UACGGAGGGUGCAAGCGUUAUCCGGAUUCACCGGGUUUAAAGGGUGCGUAGGUGGGUAGGAAAGUCAGUGGUGAAAUCUUCGGGCUUAACCCGGAAACUGCCAUUGAUACUAUUUAUCUUGAAUACCGUGGAGGUUAGCGGAAUAUGUCAUGUAGCGGUGAAAUGCUUAGAUAUGACAUAGAACACCAAUUGCGAAGGCAGCUCACUACACAAUCAUUGACGCUGAGGCACGAAAGCGUGGGGAUCAAACAGG
RNAcentral lists this ribosomal RNA (253 nucleotides) under uncultured bacterium. RNAcentral's name for it is "partial 16S ribosomal RNA". It matches the Rfam family "Bacterial small subunit ribosomal RNA", at positions 524 to 776 of the family's 1533-position model. The record is from RNAcentral.